UACGGGGGGAGCAAGCGUUGUUCGGAUUUACUGGGCGUAAAGGGCGCGUAGGCGGCCACCGCAAGUCAGUUGUGAAAUCUCUGGGCUUAACCCGGAGCGGCCAAGUGAUACUGUCGUGCUAGAGUGCGGAAGGGGCUACUGGAAUUCUCGGUGUAGCGGUGAAAUGCGUAGAUAUCGAGAGGAACACCUGCGGCGAAGGCGGGUAGCUGGGCCGACACUGACGCUGAGGCGCGAAAGCCAGGGGAGCGAACGGG
RNAcentral lists this ribosomal RNA (254 nucleotides) under uncultured bacterium. RNAcentral's name for it is "partial 16S ribosomal RNA". It matches the Rfam family "Bacterial small subunit ribosomal RNA", at positions 524 to 776 of the family's 1533-position model. The record is from RNAcentral.